AGCAUAACAUUUUCGGAGCAAUUCUAUGCUGAGGCCAACACUGGCUAUCUAGCUUGGAGACUCAAAACAGUCCAACGCACCACCUAUGACGGCUUUCGUCGGCGUUCCAGGAACGAUUUCCAGGACAGCCCAACAACCCAACGAGGGACUCUGUUAGUUGGUGGACAGCUCUUUGCGCUUUCUUGACACACCCGGAUUGAUUGAACAGGAUUUCUCAAUGAUGUUUGGGGCUGAAGUAUCUGGGCAGUUUCCUGCAAAGUGGCCUUCAUAUUUCAAGGACAAAGUCAUCGCAGAAUGCCAGAGUCUUCCCCAAAGUCUCCAUGUCGAGGAGUUGCUGGCUUUUGACACUGAGGCUGAGAAUGACUUUGAUGUCUUCAAGGCUGGGAUAGUGAUAUGUCAGCUCUUCUGUUGCUGUUGCAUCUCCUGCCUCCUUCAUCAAGAGGCCACAAACAAC
Long non-coding RNA from Pseudoliparis swirei, 454 nucleotides. RefSeq lists it as uncharacterized. The record is from RefSeq and is a predicted model, not a curated record. The transcript is spliced from 5 exons. Lineage: Eukaryota; Metazoa; Chordata; Actinopteri; Perciformes; Liparidae.